This 503-nucleotide ribosomal RNA is filed under the name Scutellospora sp. Scut4. RNAcentral describes it as "SSU rRNA". It matches the Rfam family "Eukaryotic small subunit ribosomal RNA", at positions 569 to 1078 of the family's 1831-position model. The record is from RNAcentral. Lineage: Eukaryota; Fungi; Glomeromycota; Glomeromycetes; Diversisporales; Gigasporaceae.
AGCAGCCGCGGUAAUUCCAGCUCCAAUAGCGUAUAUUAAAGUUGUUGCAGUUAAAAAGCUCGUAGUUGAAUUUCGGGGUUCUACCGUUGGUCGGGCUUUGUCUGUACUGGCGUGUAGAAUUUCUACCUUCUGGGGAACCAUCAUGUUAUUAAUUUAACGUGGUGGGAAACCAGGACCUUUACCUUGAAAAAAUUAGAGUGUUCAAAGCAGGCUUGUGUCUGAAUACAUUAGCAUGGAAUAAUAAAAUAGGACGGUGGUCCUGUUUUGUUGGUUUCUGAAUCACCGUAAUGAUUAAUAGGGAUAGUUGGGGGCAUUAGUAUUCAAUUGUCAGAGGUGAAAUUCUUGGAUUUAUUGAAGACUAACUUCUGCGAAAGCAUUUGCCAAGGAUGUUUUCAUUAAUCAAGAACGAAAGUUAGGGGAUCGAAGACGAUCAGAUACCGUCGUAGUCUUAACCAUAAACUAUGCCGACUAGGGAUCGGACGAUGUUAAUUUUUCUUGACUCG